Molecule: ribosomal RNA, 329 nt
Filed under: uncultured eukaryote
Lineage: Eukaryota
Description: partial 18S ribosomal RNA
Rfam family: Eukaryotic small subunit ribosomal RNA
Source: RNAcentral
CUCUUCGAUGUUCUGGGCUGCACGCGCGCUACAGUGGCACAGACAGAGAGCAUGAAUUAAUUAUAGAGUCGCAUCGAGGGAUGUGACGAAUCAGCAAUCGUUGUCGUGAUUGGGAUUGAGCGUUGUAAUAUUUGCUCAUGAAAGAGGAAUUCCUCGUAAGCGCGAGUCACUAACUCGUGUUAAUUACGUCUCUGCCCUUUGUACACACCGCCCGUCGCUACUACCGAUUGAACUGGUUUUUGAAGUGUAGAGAUUGGCAGGCAUGGUUUACGUGCAUUGCAAAGAACCACUCUGAAAAAAUCGUUCGAGAAGAAGUAAAAGUCGUAACA